Molecule: long non-coding RNA, 2004 nt
Filed under: Heterocephalus glaber (naked mole-rat)
Lineage: Eukaryota; Metazoa; Chordata; Mammalia; Rodentia; Bathyergidae
Description: lncRNA (ENSHGLG00100033556.1)
Source: RNAcentral
AAUUCUUCACAAGGAAUGUGACCAUUAUGUAUUGCAAACAUGUACCCACAGAAAAUUAAAAUUGGGGGGGGGGAAUAAAAGAAUUGAUACCUCAGGUGUUACUAUAGUGAAAAAACAUUUUGUAAGUGAUUUUUACCUCAAGCCUUUUGUAGGAGGAAAAAUGGUGACACAUGUUCUAAAAAAAUUAUUUUUCAGAAGAACUUCCAUGGUUUCUGAGUAUAUAUGGGCUGAGGCUUGUCUGGGUAGAGCUGGGAAGAACUGUUAGGAAGAACAUUGUAAAGUCUAAGGUAGGUUCCAUUAGGGUCAUGGCUCUGAAAAAAUGGUAGUACAUGGAUUCUAGACAUAUUUUGUAUGUGACCUCAGCAGAACUUGGUAAUAAAGAUUGGAUAUGGUGGAGGGAGAAGCAGUUGUCAAGUGUGAUUCUUGGGUGCCUAAGUGAACAACUGAUUAUAUGAAGCUAUUACAUUUACUGAUAUAGGGAAGAUGCAGAGGUGGCAGAUUUCAGAGUUCAAUGAGAGCAGGAGGAGUGUUAUUGGUAAAGAACAAACUCAGUGUAUUUGCUAUCUGUUGCAUUUAAGGUAUGGGAAAUGUAGAAGUAGAGGUGUCAUGCAGCAGUUGGAUAUACUACGAUAGUAUUGUAGAUAGGUAAGUUAAUUAGCUAUCUUUUUGGCAGCUAGACAGGGCCUCCCUUAAGGCCCCAGCACUCCAGGAGCCAACACAGCAAGGGACCAACAUGGAGAACAAUUGAGGCACAUUCAAUGAUACGUUAUGGUGAUGUUUGAAGGAUGGACUUGAACGGCAGGAAAAAGGUGUGCCAAAUUGCAAGUAAGACAUUGUAUAUGAAUGAAUGCCUUGGCUUUCCUGACUAGGUGGCUUAAGAACAAGGUAUUUAUUUUUUCACAGUACUGGAGUUAGAGCUUCAACAAAUGACUUUGGGGGCAGAAAUAAGACACAAUUUUCCCCAUACCAAGGACUGUAAAUAUUUUGGGCUACUUAAGAUGAGUAUGCUGGCUUGGGUUUGUGAGUACUUGAUACUUCACCCUUAUUCCUUGAUGCUCUACUCUGGACAUUCAGAUUCCACGGGGAUUGAACCCAUGACCUGACAGUGUACCACUGAGCUACACCCCCAGCACUUCACUGGAGUUUUUAUGGCCCACACAUCUAGCUGCCUCCUUGACGUUUCCAUUUGGAUAUUCCAAGGUACCUCAAACCCAAUUUAUGUCCCACACUGAGGAUCUUCCCUCAUUCCACUCUCUACACCUGUAUGGUAUUUGCCAUCUUAGUGAAAACUCUAUGCAUAUUUUUAAUCUAAGUCAGAAACCUAGAACUAUUCAUGAUGUCUCCUGAACCCCUUGUUUUCAAUCCAAUUUUGAAUUUCUGUGGGUUUUCUCACCAGAACCAGUUGAUGUCUCACCACAGCCUAGUCCAUGCUACAGCAUCUCUCCCUUGCCUUUCAACUAGUCACCUGUGUCCCUGUGCCCAAGCUUGAUGUAGUUGACCUCUGGCAUCUCCUUUGGCAGAUUUUCCUUUCUUUUUCAGAGAAACAAGAAAAUUCCUUUUAAAAAGGAAUUGCUCCUGUGGAAGGUCCCAAGUUGGAUUCCUGGUACAAGAAAAAAAAAAGAAAAAGGAAUUGCUCUAGCCCCUACCCUUCCGGUUCCACAUCACUCUGCCUCUGCCCUGGCUACCACUGACCCCAUGUUACCCCUUGCUGGGUGCCAGGCUCCCUGUUGGCAAAGCCAUGAAUCAACACAGGAAACGACAUGAAGUCUUCCAACGACAUUCCUCUCAGCUUUGCUACAGCACAGCUGUCCGGGUUGGGUGUGCACGCAGAUGCCAGCACCUCUCACACGGUGGACGUGGUGAACCCGUGUCCAGCCCUAUCAACGAGGCCAGGUCCAAGGUGUUUGCCCACAGUCCUGGUGAUGUCCCAGGCCUGACCCCCAUGGAGCGGUGGGGCGGUGCGGCAGCCUCCCGCCACCAGGAGUCGCCCUUGCCUGCAGCGGC